AGCAGCGCUCACCCAGCGUGCGCACGUUGUUACCAUCUAAACUGUCUUGAGUGUCUUUAUUUCGCCUGAAGAAUGUCUUGUUUAAAUAUUUACUCCUUACAUUUAUUUGGUCCUUCGAGCCAACAGAGUGACCUCGUGCGUUUCCUGGAUUCGUGAACCCACGCUGCAAAGUCUGUCGCGACAGCCUGUUUCUAGUGAAACAGUAAAGACCAACUACGUGAAUUCGCCGUUGGCCAGCGUUUUUAGCAAGAGGUCCACGAUCCCAGGGAGCGAGGAGGAUUCUCUCUGACCGGCAUUUUCAUCCGAACCAGGUGAAUAUAAACACUCAAGAACACAUUGCGGCUAAAAUCGGUUUUUAGAUUGACACGGUUCUUAAAAGACUCGUCCUUUAAGGACUGGAGGUCAGGGAUCUCACUCUCACGAGUGAAAGGACUCGCCUGUAAGACGGAGUUUGACGGUCCUGUGUGGGGUCACUCCGCAGUUUAAAAGGUUGAAGUCAGGGAUCUCACUCUCACGAGUGAAUGAAAAUAAAGGAUCUCACUCUCACGAGUGAAUGAAAAUAAAGGGAUCUCACUCUCACGAGUGAAUGAAAAUAAAGAACGUGUCAAUUAAAAUAGGAUUAUAGUACCGCGUGUGAAGUUUAUGUGUUGUUGAAGAGUGAGUGACCUUUUGAAUAGAAACAACAGGUUUCUGCACCACUCUUACUGUUUCCUGUGUUGACCGAUGUACUGGUGAGAAGGGGUCAAAGGUUGCGCUUCAACGCAUAAAAUUAAGGCCGCCCUGGGUCUAGACCAGGGUAGAAGGCUGCCUUAAUAACCUCCCCCGACUCUAAUAUCAGCGAAGGUCACACAGAGUGUAUGUUGGCAGUAUUAAUAAAUAAAAGUAAAACAAGGUAGUUCCAAAUAUAAUAAAUCAAAAAAAUAUAGGAAAAAUAAAAUUAUAAGCAAUUUACAAUAAAAUAUUAUUGAUAAAUCUAAGCCCAAAAAAUGGGAAAUAAACCCGCAAAGCCUGAAUUGACUGCAGAUGAACUAUGGUUAGAAAAGAAAUGCCCCGGUGCAGGACAAAUAAGCGCAAACAGAUGGAGAAAUCCUAAAGAAAACCUAAAUGUCCCACGUGGGAGGGAAAAUGUAUAACUAAAUUAUAAGAAACCCUCCAAGCAGAAAUAAAUACUGAAAAGGAAGCUAAAAAGAAAUCAAAACAUACACAAGAGUUGUAAUAUUUUAAAGCAUGGAAAGAGGAAUGAAGUGGAAUAAACAAAAGGUUAAAUUAAGGUUAACUUAAAUUAAAGCAAUGAAAUAAUAUUGGGAAGACAACCAAGCUGAAUGAAUGGAAUGCGUGAAACCAGAUAAUUCACACAAAAUAUAUCAAAUAAAAAAAAGAGAGAUGCAUACGGCAUAUUAAGGCUGUGUCAUUGUUCAGCCAAGGAAAAUGUCUCCAGCUUGGGAAAGGGUGAGACUGCAGCUCACCCUCAGCCCUUGGUGGACACAAAUAAAAUAUUGUAAUAUACUAUUGCUGUUAUAUAAAAAGAUAAUAACAUUACUAAUGAAAUAAUAUUACAUAUGAAGAGGCACCUCAGUCAGUUGUGAUGUGAGGUGGAUAAUUGUUAAAAGUAAUCUGCAUCAAGCUUAAGGUUUGCUCAAAUUCAGUAUAAUGACAUAUGAGAUGAAGAAAAUAAAGAAAAUAUGUAAACUAAUUAAGUGCAUAGAGACACUUGAUCCGCUUGUAAACCUGUCAUCCUAGAUGAGAUUUUGUUAAGAUGAAGAGCAAACCUAUACUACCAAGCUAAUAAGCAAGAUACACACUUUUUAUUUUGUAUUAAUUUUUUUUGUUUUUCAGAGCAGAAACUGCAUGAUAUUAAAGCUCGAACAUGCAGCUGUCUGUGAACCCAGUUUUCACCCUCACACCCCUGAUCUGUUUUUAACAGCAGCUUUUUGCAUCCUGUCUCAUGUGUGUAAAGCGUUCAUGCCAUCAGCAACUUGUUUUUGUUUGUUUGUUUUGUUGGUUUGAAAAACAAAUCUGUGAUCAUACUUGAGGAUCACAGUGACACGAAAUGAUUAGGCACAUGAUUUACUGAUGCCUAGUUUUAGAGCUGUGAGCUACGAGCUGUAAGCAAUGCAAAGUUUUUCCCAACUUAGAAGUUUGACGUAUGUAACAUGUAUGAGAUAUAUGAAUUAUUUUAAAACGAAAUAGAAAUUGUCCAAAAUGCCUUAAGAAAAUAUGUAGUGCUGUAUCUACAGAGACAAAAGGAAGAAGAAGCAUUCAGUAACUUGGAAAUAGCCUUUCUACUUACAUGUAGAUGGAAGUGCAGGUUACAUGAAAGCUGUUUUAACACAGGCAUUUGGAGAAAAACAACGUCUGCUUGCAUUUUACUUCUGCAAAUUAGACUCUGUUGUGUGCAGGCCGGUGUAGCUGCAGCAGAGGCAGUAAAGGUCAGCUGACAUUGUUUUAGGACACACUUUAAUCAUCAAAGUGCCCCAUGCUGUGACUUCUGAAACAGCUCUCUUCAUGCAACUUCAUGCUUGAUGAUGAUAAUUUCGGAGCCAGCUGAGAGCUGGGUUGAGAGCGAUGCUUUGUUUUAAGUGACAAAGCAGAAAAGUUAAACUUAGUUUGUUUUUGUUUGUUUGUUUGUUUUUUAAUACGAGAGAAUGGUAAUGGAUAAGAAGUGAUAUUUUGUUUAAGUGAAGGCAGAAAGCUACUAAACAAAGAAAAGAAGUUAUAUACAAUGCGCGAUAGCCACAAGACUAAGCAUUCACAUUCUUUCUGACUCUUAAUGAGCCUGAGUUAUGACCUUGGCUCCCUAUUUUUCUGCCUCCACCAGAGAUGGGAGUGAAGCUCCCGUGGAAUGUGCUCUGUUCUCCUUACUGCAUCUAUAAAAAUAGCAUUCAGUAACUUGGAUAUAACCUUUCUACUUAUAUUUAGGUGGAAGUGCAGACUAGAUGAAAACAGUUAAAUUCAACAAAGAGUUCGAUUACUCUGGAGAAAGCGGGAAAUGUGUCUGUAACAGGAAAAGCGUGUAACAGGAACUACAUGCCCAUACAAAGGAGCUGACUGUGUCAAGACGCAGACAGACAGAGAGACACAGAGACAGCCAAUAUGUUUACUCUAACUGUUUUAAUAGUUUUGCAAUUUUCAUUAGUUUUAUUUUUCUUUAGUUUUGACUUAAGAUUUUAAAACUAAACACAUUUUGCUACAAAAUCAGUUAAUUUUGUGACCACUCAUUGCAGUUUUAGACAGUUUUACUUUUGUUUUUAUUUUUAUUUCUGUUAACGAAAGAAUAUUUUUUUUUUUUUUUUUUUUUUUUUUUUUGACUUCUAGUUUUGUUUUUUCGUUGGUUUGACUUAUCAAUAAUGAAUUUGAUCUGCAGUACGCCAUUUUGGAAAUAUGGCAUAACAGAGGGCGACAAUUUUGCAGACCAAGCAGCAAAAUCAGUAGCAGUACAAACAGUAGACGCACUUAUGGUGACAACACCUCUAUGCAAAUUCCACUGGAUAUCUUGAGAAAUGAACCACACAUUUGUGCCAUUACUAGAGCGAAAGAAAUGGUUGAGGUGCGGAGCAAUUCUACAGGAUGAUCUGAUCAUAUGUGAUGGGAAACCGUUACAACCGAAGUCUUUAUACAAAAACAGUAGCUCUUGUGACACAUGAAGUUGUUCAUGCGUCAACAGGAGGGAGUCUAAUUAGUUAAAAACACUAGUUAAAGACACUUCUAUGCAUAAAAUUUCAAACAAGUCAAUAAGAGAAACAACUCUAGCAGAGUGGAUGACAAAGUUGCUGGAAAACAGAGAAAUAGUUUUGAACAAUCAACUGCCGAGUGAUUCUCUUCCAGUUUCUUGCAGGUUGAAAAAGGGUUGAACCAAUCCAAGAACCACAAACUCCCGAAUAGAAAAGUGAGCAGUAAAGUCUAGACUGCAGACCGCUCUAACCUCUGGUGUUCACUCGGUGGGGAGAAGGGCUAUCAGUGGCAACACUGAGACACUCGCUCCUCUUGCUGGGUGUCUACUCAUUGGAGGCCAAGGGUGUGUCCACGGUCGAGAAGAGGAGAAACGCUCACAGAGGGAGACCUGAUGGAGAUGGAAAUACUAAAUGCAAACCAGGAUGCCCCUGAGGGUGAGAGACCGCACAGACGACGUCGAUGCUGGACAAGAGGAUGCCAACUGACCACUGUCACAACGAUGUGUUCCAUGCUCGUGUUCACAGUAUUCUUAUCACUGGCCCUGGUAGGCAUGAACACGGCCUGCACCAGCAACCCAUGUGACCCACACUGCCCGAGGAUUUACCGGCAGGCUCCAAAUGUGACGUGUCCUGAAAGGGGAACCAUUUUAAGCUGCAGCCUAUGCCCAGAAGAAC
This is a long non-coding RNA of Oreochromis aureus, 4346 nucleotides long. Lineage: Eukaryota; Metazoa; Chordata; Actinopteri; Cichliformes; Cichlidae. The record is from Ensembl.